UACGUAGGUCCCGAGCGUUGUCCGGAUUUAUUGGGCGUAAAGCGAGCGCAGGUGGUUUAUUAAGUCUGGUGUAAAAGGCAGUGGCUCAACCAUUGUAUGCAUUGGAAACUGGUAGACUUGAGUGCAGGAGAGGAGAGUGGAGUUCCAUGUGUAGCGGUGAAAUGCGUAGAUAUAUGGAGGAACACCGGUGGCGAAAGCGGCUCUCCGGACUGUAACUGACGCUGAGGCUCGAAAGCGUGGGGAGCAAAUAGG
Molecule: ribosomal RNA, 252 nt
Filed under: uncultured bacterium
Lineage: Bacteria
Description: partial 16S ribosomal RNA
Rfam family: Bacterial small subunit ribosomal RNA
Source: RNAcentral